AUGGUGAGCGAAACCGAGCGGCGAGGGCAGUGGUCAGGCGCGGGCGGAGCGGUGGUGACCAAAGACGGGCGCAGCCGGGACGAGCUGUCGGCGGCAGUGGUGCGACGCAGCAGUGCGCGAUGCACGCAACCGGCGCGGCGAGCACGGUGUGCGGGCGCGUUCAGGCGCAGACGGUGGCCAAGGUGCGUGGCGAUGGAGCGGCAGGGGGGCGACGGCGUGGCCGUCACGGUGGUGUGCGUGCGCGCGCGUGGACAAGCGGCCGGAGUGGACGACGAGUGCGGGGAGAUGAGGAGAGGCCGGGGGCCUCACCGGGGUUGUAGGGGACUGGGCAGCGGGGCUCGUGGUGGGUGA
Molecule: ribosomal RNA, 351 nt
Filed under: Triticum aestivum (bread wheat)
Lineage: Eukaryota; Viridiplantae; Streptophyta; Magnoliopsida; Poales; Poaceae
Description: partial small subunit ribosomal RNA
Source: RNAcentral